CGGGGAGGCGGUUUCGGCCGCCUCCGCCGGCGACCGGCGCACGGGUGAGUAACACGUAUGGAACCUGCCCGCCACAGGGGGAUAACCCGGGGAAACCCGGCCUAAUACCCCAUGCCGCCCGGACCGGGCAUCCGGUCCGGGCGAAAGGAGGAAUCCGGUGGCGGCUGGGCAUGCGGCGCAUUAGCUUGACGGCGGGGUAACGGCCCACCGUGGCGACGAUGCGUAGGGGUUCUGAGAGGAAGGCCCCCCACACUGGAACUGAGACACGGUCCAGACUCCUACGGGAGGCAGCAG
This 294-nucleotide ribosomal RNA is filed under the name uncultured bacterium. RNAcentral's name for it is "partial 16S ribosomal RNA". It matches the Rfam family "Bacterial small subunit ribosomal RNA", at positions 65 to 354 of the family's 1533-position model. The record is from RNAcentral.